GGCAUGCUAGCUGAGAAUAAGUAUUUAUCUAUAAAACUCUAAAUCAUAAAAUAACUGGAAUAUUUGUAUUAUUACUUUUGUGAAGCAUUUUUAUAAUUAGAUCUUCAAAGAGAAUCUAAAAGUAUUGAGUUUCAUUUAGAAGAAAAGUGUAGAAACUCUACAACAGAGAAAGACCUUGAUUUCUCUUAAGACUCAUAAGACAGCAUUUUCUUUUUUACGUGGGUGAGGCCCUAGGUUAUUCAGAACCUUGGGGCAUUUUCUAAGAU
Molecule: long non-coding RNA, 266 nt
Filed under: Bos taurus (domestic cattle)
Lineage: Eukaryota; Metazoa; Chordata; Mammalia; Artiodactyla; Bovidae
Description: long non-coding RNA NONBTAT016514
Source: RNAcentral